Molecule: ribosomal RNA, 469 nt
Filed under: uncultured bacterium
Lineage: Bacteria
Description: partial 16S ribosomal RNA
Rfam family: Bacterial small subunit ribosomal RNA
Source: RNAcentral
GACGAACGCUGGCGGCGUGCUUAACACAUGCAAGUCGAACGGAAAGGCCCUGCUUGCAGGGUGCUCGAGUGGCGAACGGGUGAGUAACACGUGGGUGAUCUGCCCCUUACUUUGGGAUAAGCCUGGGAAACUGGGUCUAAUACUGGAUAGGACCAUGCUGUAGGUGGUGUGGUGGAAAGAUUAGUUUCGGUAAGGGAUGAGCUCGCGGCCUAUCUGCUUGUUGGUGGGGUAAUGGCCUACCAAGGCGUCGACGGGUAGCCGGCCUGAGAGGGUGGACGGCCACAUUGGGACUGAGAUACGGCCCAGACUCCUACGGGAGGCAGCAGUGGGGAAUAUUGCACAAUGGGCGCAAGCCUGAUGCAGCGACGCCGCGUGGGGGAUGACGGCCUUCGGGUUGUAAACUCCUUUCAGCCAUGACGAAGCCCUUGUGGUGACGGUAGUGGUAGAAGAAGCACCGGCUAACUACGUG